This is a long non-coding RNA of Humulus lupulus (European hop), 276 nucleotides long. RefSeq lists it as uncharacterized. Lineage: Eukaryota; Viridiplantae; Streptophyta; Magnoliopsida; Rosales; Cannabaceae. The transcript has 2 exons. The record is from RefSeq and is a predicted model, not a curated record.
CUGCUUUUGUCCGCCUUGUGGGAACCCAAAUUAAAACGAAAGUUCCCGGACAUUACGGUUCAUGGGAAUUAGUGCCUAAACAAUACAAGGAUCAGGUCCUUGGCAUAAUUCAGUACUAUUAUCAAAUAGCGGGCCGCGAGGAUUUCUUAAAGUGUUUAGAUGGUAUCGAUCGAGAGAUGAAAGACCAAUACCGUAAUAGGAAAACACUAAGACACGAACACUUUGAGAAACACUACAAUGGACCGGAGGAUUGGGAUAAGGUUCUAAACAACCCAA